Molecule: ribosomal RNA, 301 nt
Filed under: uncultured bacterium
Lineage: Bacteria
Description: partial 16S ribosomal RNA
Rfam family: Bacterial small subunit ribosomal RNA
Source: RNAcentral
CAGUCGCCGCGGUAAUACGGAGGGUGCAAGCGUUAUCCGGAUUUAUUGGGUUUAAAGGGUCCGUAGGCGGAUCUGUAAGUCAGUGGUGAAAUCUCACAGCUUAACUGUGAAACUGCCAUUGAUACUGCAGGUCUUGAGUAAAUUUGAGGUGGCUGGAAUAAGUAGUGUAGCGGUGAAAUGCAUAGAUAUUACUUAGAACACCAAUUGCGAAGGCAGGUCACUAAGAUUUAACUGACGCUGAUGGACGAAAGCGUGGGGAGCGAACAGGAUUAGAUACCCCAGUAGUCCCUGUCUCUUAUAA